This 496-nucleotide ribosomal RNA is filed under the name uncultured bacterium. RNAcentral describes it as "partial 16S ribosomal RNA". It matches the Rfam family "Bacterial small subunit ribosomal RNA", at positions 29 to 507 of the family's 1533-position model. The record is from RNAcentral.
AUGAACGCUGGCGGCGUGCCUCAUACCUGCAAGUCGAGCGAACAGACGAGGAGCUUGCUCCCCUGACGUUAGCGGCGGACGGGUGAGUAACACGUGGAUAACCUACCUAUAAGACUGGGAUAACUUCGGGAAACCGGAGCUAAUACCGGAUAAUAUAUUGAACCGCAUGGUUCAAUAGUGAAAGACGGUUUUGCUGUCACUUAUAGAUGGAUCCGCGCCGCAUUAGCUAGUUGGUAAGGUAACGGCUUACCAAGGCAACGAUGCGUAGCCGACCUGAGAGGGUGAUCGGCCACACUGGAACUGAGACACGGUCCAGACUCCUACGGGAGGCAGCAGUAGGGAAUCUUCCGCAAUGGGCGAAAGCCUGACGGAGCAACGCCGCGUGAGUGAUGAAGGUCUUCGGAUCGUAAAACUCUGUUAUUAGGGAAGAACAAAUGUGUAAGUAACUAUGCACGUCUUGACGGUACCUAAUCAGAAAGCCACGGCUAACUACGUG